UGUUCUCGUGGUCUAGUGGCUAUGACGCUACCCUCUCACGGUAGAAAUCGUGGGUUCGAUCCCCACCGGGAACGA
This 75-nucleotide transfer RNA is filed under the name candidate division SR1 bacterium Aalborg_AAW-1. RNAcentral's name for it is "tRNA-Glu". It matches the Rfam family "tRNA". From Rfam's summary of the family: Transfer RNA (tRNA) molecules are approximately 80 nucleotides in length. Their secondary structure includes four short double-helical elements and three loops (D, anti-codon, and T loops). The record is from RNAcentral. Lineage: Bacteria; Candidatus Absconditibacteriota.